Long non-coding RNA from Eriocheir sinensis (Chinese mitten crab), 823 nucleotides. RefSeq lists it as uncharacterized. The record is from RefSeq and is a predicted model, not a curated record. The transcript has 2 exons. Lineage: Eukaryota; Metazoa; Arthropoda; Malacostraca; Decapoda; Varunidae.
UUCCUUCUGGCGAUCGGAAUCAAAAGCCCACACACGGUGAGGAUUUUGUGGGGACUGGCCUCUUGACUCCAAUCCUCACAGAAUCGUGACGCCAGUCCUCUGCGUGUGUGGGCAGCAUUACAACCGGUUGGUCUGGCUUCAAUGCGUGAAGGAAACCCCCACAAAAACUUGCUUGAAAAUUGCUGUACGGUCGUUGAGCUUUGGGGAAGUCCGUUGCUAGGCCUUCCAGUCCCGGGCUCGCCUAUAAAAGGUGGAGGAAGCUUGCAAGCACACCAGACGCUGCUCCUCGACUCACGACAUCUGAAGUUUCUCUCACUCAGCACCAUGAGAACACUGAACCUCCUGCUGCUGGUGGCCUUGGCCCUGACUGCGCUGGUGGUGGUGGAGGCCAUGCCCGGCCCCUUCCCCGACGCUGACCCCGAGGCCCUCGCCGACCCUGGCCCUUGGGGUGGAUACAGACGCUUUGGUGGCUUUGGCCAUGGCUUUGGACGAGGCUUUGGACGAGGCUAUGGAUUUGGAGGCUACUGGCGUUGAUUAACGCAGAAUAUACUGGCGAGGGAAGCAUGUGAGCUAAGAAGACCGCGGUGCCACUCACGCCACAACUCGGCUAUUUUCCCCUCGUGCCAGUCAAGUGCAGCGAGAGGCAGACUACGAUCACUGCCCCUGGUACGCUGCUAACAUCCUCGCCACCUCUGACUUCGCCGAUCUUUGACAUCUUCCCAAUAUUAGAAGAAAACUUGUCCUCUUCAAUGACUAAUAUACGUACAGAUACACUAAAUUUCAUUUUAUCUUAACUGGCUCAAAAUAAAAUGCACUCACUAGA